GACGAACGCUGGCGGCGUGCUUAACACAUGCAAGUCGAACGGAAAGGCCCUGCUUUUGUGGGGUGCUCGAGUGGCGAACGGGUGAGUAACACGUGAGUAACCUGCCCUUGACUUUGGGAUAACUUCAGGAAACUGGGGCUAAUACCGGAUAGGAGCUCCUGCUGCAUGGUGGGGGUUGGAAAGUUUCGGCGGUUGGGGAUGGACUCGCGGCUUAUCAGCUUGUUGGUGGGGUAGUGGCUUACCAAGGCUUUGACGGGUAGCCGGCCUGAGAGGGUGGCCGGCCACAUUGGGACUGAGAUACGGCCCAGACUCCUACGGGAGGCAGCAGUGGGGAAUAUUGCACAAUGGGCGGAAGCCUGAUGCAGCAACGCCGCGUGCGGGAUGACGGUCUUCGGGUUGUAAACCGCUUUCGCCUGUGACGAAGCGUGAGUGACGGUAAUGGGUAAAGAAGCACCGGCUAACUACGUG
Molecule: ribosomal RNA, 468 nt
Filed under: uncultured bacterium
Lineage: Bacteria
Description: partial 16S ribosomal RNA
Rfam family: Bacterial small subunit ribosomal RNA
Source: RNAcentral